AAAUUCAGAGCAUCAAACACUUUACUUCCUCCAUUCUCGUGAAUUUUUGUGCGUCAGUAUGAGCGUUUUCACCACUUUAUGGAAACUUUCAGCAUCAGCACUUGACUUCCUGUAUUCUGCUGAACUUCAUGAGCCAGUUUGCGUCUUUACUGCAACAGUUCAUGGUGGAGACGUCUGGAACACAACAGUCAGGCACCAGGUGACAAAACAUAAUGAAAUAUAAUGCAUUGAGACUCCAUUCAUUCUCCUGUACCUAGAUCUGUUUUCUCUUUUAAUAUUAACCCUUUUAAGACAACAGAAA
This is a long non-coding RNA of Stegastes partitus (bicolor damselfish), 301 nucleotides long. RefSeq lists it as uncharacterized. Lineage: Eukaryota; Metazoa; Chordata; Actinopteri; Pomacentridae. The transcript has 2 exons. The record is from RefSeq and is a predicted model, not a curated record.